This 1489-nucleotide ribosomal RNA is filed under the name uncultured Comamonas sp. RNAcentral's name for it is "bacterial SSU rRNA". It matches the Rfam family "Bacterial small subunit ribosomal RNA". Lineage: Bacteria; Pseudomonadati; Pseudomonadota; Betaproteobacteria; Burkholderiales; Comamonadaceae. The record is from RNAcentral.
ACGCUUGGAUCACACAUGCAAGUUCGAACGGUAACAGGUCUUCGGAUUGCCUGACGAGUGGCGAACGGCGUGAGUAAUACAUCGGAAUCGUGCCUAGUAGUGGGGGAUAACUACUCGAAAGAGUGGGCUAAUACCGCAUGAGAUCUACGGAUGAAAGCAGGCCGGAUCGCAAGACCUUGUGCUACUAGAGCGGCCGAUGGCAGAUUAGGUAGUUGGUGGGAUAAAAGCUUACCAAGCCGACGAUCUGUAGCUGGUCUGAAAGGACGAUCAGCCACGACUGGGACUGAGACUACGGCCCAGACUCCUACGGGACGGCAGCAGUGGGUGAAUUUUGGACAAUGGAAGCGCAAGCCUGAUCUCAGCAAUGCCGCGUGCAGGAUGAAGGCCUUCGGGUUGUAAACUGCUAUUGUACGGAACGAAAGAGCCCUGGAUUAAUACCCUGGGGUCAUGACGGUACCGUAAGAAUAAGCACCGGCAUAACUACGUGCCAGCAGCCAUGGUAAUACGUAGGGUGCGAGCGUUAAUCGGAAUUACUGGGCGUAAAGCGUGCGCAGGCGGUUGCAUAAGACAGAGGUGAAAUCCCCGGGCUCAACCUGGGAACUGCCUUGGUGACUGCAAGGCUAGAGUACGGCAGAGGGGGAUGGAAUUCCGCGUGUAGCAGUGAAAUGCGUAGAUAUGCGGAGGAACACCGAUGGCGAAGCAAUCCCCUGGGCCUGUACUGACGCUCAUGCACGAAAGCGUGGGGAGCAAACAGAUUAGAUACCCUGGUAGUCCACGCCCUAAACGAUGUGCAACUGGUUGUUGGGUCUUAACUGACUCAGUAACGAAGCUAAUAUGUGAAGUUGACCGCCUGGGGAGUACGGCCGCAAGGUUGAAACUCAACGGAAUUGACGGGGACCCGCACAAGCGGUGGAUGAUGUGGUUUAAUUCGAUGCAACGCGAAAAACCUUACCCACCUUUGACAUGUACGGAAUCCUAUAGAGAUAGAGGAGUGCUCGAAAGAGAGCCGUAACACAGGUGCUGCAUGGCUGUCGUCAGCUCGUGUCGUGAAGAUGUUGGGUUAAGUCCACGCAACGAGCGCAACUCCUUGCCAUUAGUUGCUACUGAAAGGGCACUCUAAUGGGACUGCCGAGUGACAAACCGGAGGAAGGUGGGGAUGACGUCAUUGAGUCCUCAUGGCCCUUAUAGGUGGGGCUACACACGUCAUACAAUGGCUGGUACAAAGGGUUGCCAACCCGCGAGGGGGAGCUAAUCCCAUAAAGCCAGUCGUAGUCCGGAUCGCAGUCUGCAACUCGACUGCGUGAAGUCGGAAUCGCUAGUAAUCGUGGAUCAGAAUGUCACGGUGAAUACGUUCCCGGGUCUUGUACACACCGCAGGUCACACCAUGGGAGCGGGUCUCGCCAGAAGUAGGUAGCUUAACCGCAAGGAGGAGCGCUUACGACACGGCGGACUUCGUGACCUGGGGUGAAGUCGUAUACAAGUCAUUCGA